CGCCCUCCCUCUUCCGCAGACUUCUCUCAAGUACUGAGCCAUAUGGUUCCAGUUAAGCUCCAUAUUUUUCCCUGUCGAUUGAAGAGACACACUUUCCUCUUUGCCAGACAGUUUGCAGAUUGCUCUGUUGGCUCAAUUUCUUAUUGGAUUUCUCAAAAAACCUGACAUUUUAAAUUAAUUUACAGCCACAACAAAAAGAGUUCAGAAUUUUAAUGGUGUUGUAAGUAAGUUUUAGGUAAUCCACUCCAGAUUUUGAUAUUAACCUUUGAAACCGGAGUUCAUUCAGCUACUAUGUUACAAUACACAGUCAGGCCUGGGGGAGAGCUUGCAGGGAGGAGGAGAGGCUGGAUCUGGGAAGCCCUUUUUUGCUAGGAAAC
This 377-nucleotide long non-coding RNA is filed under the name Marmota monax (woodchuck). The record is from RNAcentral. Lineage: Eukaryota; Metazoa; Chordata; Mammalia; Rodentia; Sciuridae.